Molecule: ribosomal RNA, 166 nt
Filed under: uncultured bacterium
Lineage: Bacteria
Description: partial 16S ribosomal RNA
Rfam family: Bacterial small subunit ribosomal RNA
Source: RNAcentral
CCUACGGGAGGCAGCAGUGGGGAAUUUUGGACAAUGGGCGCAAGCCUGAUCCAGCCAUUCCGCGUGCAGGAUGAAGGCCCUCGGGUUGUAAACUGCUUUUGUACGGAACGAAAAGGCUGAGUUAAUACCUCGGGCUCAUGACGGUACCGUAUGCUAGAACGCCUUC